RNAcentral lists this ribosomal RNA (492 nucleotides) under uncultured bacterium. RNAcentral describes it as "partial 16S ribosomal RNA". It matches the Rfam family "Bacterial small subunit ribosomal RNA", at positions 29 to 507 of the family's 1533-position model. The record is from RNAcentral.
AAUGAACGCUGGCGGCAUGCCUAACACAUGCAAGUCGAACGGCAGCACCGUCCAUUUUUGCUCUUACCGGUUGCGAGUCGCGUGCGUGAGAAGUGUAUAUCCGCCUCUACUUUUUCGUGGGACAUCACGUAGGGAGUCUUACUCUCAUACCGUAUACGCUGUUCGGGUGAGCGGGGGGGAUCUUCGCCCCUUGCGCGAAUGGAUGCGCAGAUGUCGGAUUAGCUAGUUGGCGGGGUAAUGGCCCACCAAGGCGACGAUCCGUAGCUGGUCUGAGAGGAUGAUCGGCCACACUGGAGCUGAGACACGGUCCAGACUCCUACGGGAGGCAGCAGUGGGGAAUAUUGGACAAUGGGCGCAAGCCUGAUCCAGCGAUACCGCGUGGGUGAAGAAGGCCUUCGGGUUGUAAAGCCCUUUUGUGGGGAAAGAAAAGCAUCAGGCUAAUACCACGCGUGUCUGACGGUACCCAAAAAAGAAGCACCGGCUAACUACGUG